UUUGAAGUACUUGGAACUAUAUUCAGG
Molecule: non-coding RNA, 27 nt
Filed under: Mus musculus (house mouse)
Lineage: Eukaryota; Metazoa; Chordata; Mammalia; Rodentia; Muridae
Source: RNAcentral